RNAcentral lists this unclassified non-coding RNA (312 nucleotides) under uncultured fungus. RNAcentral's name for it is "partial contains 5.8S ribosomal RNA and internal transcribed spacer 2". The stretch from base 1 to 133 matches the Rfam family "5.8S ribosomal RNA", at positions 22 to 154 of the family's 154-position model. Lineage: Eukaryota; Fungi. The record is from RNAcentral.
UGGUUCUAGCAUCGAUGAAGAACGCAGCGAAAUGCGAUAAGUAAUGUGAAUUGCAGAACUCAGUGAAUUAUCGAAUCUUUGAACGCACAUUGCACCCUUUGGUAUUCCAAGGGGUAUGCCUGUUUGAUCGUCAUUGCACCAUCAAGCCCUGCUUGGUAUUGGAUGCCACCUUUAUGAUGCGUCUUAAAAUUAUUGGGCAGUGGCAUUUAACUUCUAGUGUAGUACUUCUCACUAGAGAGCUUAAAUGCUAAUCGCUUUGCAAACUUCAUGAUUUCAAGAGUUGACCUCGGAUCAGGUAGGGAUACCCGCUGA